UACAGAGGGCUCAAGCGUUGUUCGGAUUUACUGGGCGUAAAGGGCGCGUAGGCGGUCAGCACAAGUCAGUUGUGAAAUCUCCGGGCUUAACUCGGAAAGGUCAACUGAUACUGUGCGACUAGAGUGCAGAAGGGGCAACUGGAAUUCUCGGUGUAGCGGUGAAAUGCGUAGAUAUCGAGAGGAACACCUGCGGCGAAGGCGGGUUGCUGGGCUGACACUGACGCUGAGGCGCGAAAGCCAGGGGAGCGAACGGG
Molecule: ribosomal RNA, 254 nt
Filed under: uncultured bacterium
Lineage: Bacteria
Description: partial 16S ribosomal RNA
Rfam family: Bacterial small subunit ribosomal RNA
Source: RNAcentral